RNAcentral lists this ribosomal RNA (578 nucleotides) under uncultured Enterobacteriaceae bacterium. RNAcentral describes it as "bacterial SSU rRNA". It matches the Rfam family "Bacterial small subunit ribosomal RNA", at positions 102 to 676 of the family's 1533-position model. The record is from RNAcentral. Lineage: Bacteria; Pseudomonadati; Pseudomonadota; Gammaproteobacteria; Enterobacterales; Enterobacteriaceae.
ACGGGUGAGUAAUGUCUGGGAAACUGCCUGAUGGAGGGGGAUAACUACUGGAAACGGUAGCUAAUACCGCAUAACGUCGCAAGACCAAAGUGGGGGACCUUCGGGCCUCACGCCAUCAGAUGUGCCCAGAUGGGAUUAGCUAGUAGGUGGGGUAACGGCUCACCUAGGCGACGAUCCCUAGCUGGUCUGAGAGGAUGACCAGCCACACUGGAACUGAGACACGGUCCAGACUCCUACGGGAGGCAGCAGUGGGGAAUAUUGCACAAUGGGCGCAAGCCUGAUGCAGCCAUGCCGCGUGUGUGAAGAAGGCCUUCGGGUUGUAAAGCACUUUCAGCGAGGAGGAAGGCAGCAAGGCUAAUAAGCUUGCUGAUUGACGUUACUCGCAGAAGAAGCACCGGCUAACUCCGUGCCAGCAGCCGCGGUAAUACGGAGGGUGCAAGCGUUAAUCGGAAUGACUGGGCGUAAAGCGCACGCAGGCGGUUUGUUAAGUUGGAUGUGAAAUCCCCGGGCUUAACCUGGGAACGGCAUUCAAAACUGGCAAGCUAGAGUCUCGUAGAGGGGGGUAGAAUUCCAGGUGU